RNAcentral lists this unclassified non-coding RNA (204 nucleotides) under Hevea brasiliensis (rubber tree). The record is from RNAcentral. Lineage: Eukaryota; Viridiplantae; Streptophyta; Magnoliopsida; Malpighiales; Euphorbiaceae.
AGCACUGGGCGGCGAUGGCGAGCGGGACGGCGGGGAAGAGGACGGCGAGCUUGGUGGCGAGGAAGACCUCCUGGAGGUUGGCGAGCAGCGGGCGGAGCGGCGCCACGGGGACCUUCCGCACCAGCGCGGCGUCCGACUUCUUCCGCAGCGACGACGACGACAUGUUGUGCGCCGUCCUGCUCCGCCCGUGCGGGUGCCGCGCCG